RNAcentral lists this long non-coding RNA (2669 nucleotides) under Salvia miltiorrhiza (redroot sage). Its description in RNAcentral is "long non-coding RNA (SMIL_LNC008027)". The record is from RNAcentral. Lineage: Eukaryota; Viridiplantae; Streptophyta; Magnoliopsida; Lamiales; Lamiaceae.
GGAAAUGUGCAAAAAUCAUGCCUGUAUAAUUAUUGCUUAUAGAUAAGGAUAUUCUAUGUGUUUAUUUGUCUUCCUAAUUUGGAUUUUGGUUAGAAAAGAUUCUAUAUUUGUAUCUUAUAAUUGCAAAUUCGCACUAAUUAUGCUUAUGUACACACUUAUUACGUAUGACUGCUUGUGCAUAGUAAACAACCUUCUUGUUAUAAUAAUUAGUUUGAGGGGGCAAGCUCUGUUUUGGUGGCUUCGGUGUGGAAUGGUUCCUGUGAUGAUUGGCAAUGAAGAAUUAAGUACACUAAAACACAUAUAAUGUGAAUGAGAAUGGUGAAGAUUGAUGUAAUUUUAUUUGUAAGGGGUGGUAUAUGAAAAGAGAAAUCGUAAGAAACAAAAUAAAUUUGAGAUAUUUGUAAUAUUGUUGAAGAUUGGGCAAAUUUGUCACAUCCAGCACAACAAAUUAAAUGGUUUUAAAUAAGUUUUUUCAGACUCAAACAAUCAUCUACUACUCUUACAGAUGCCUGAUGGAGAUUAGGGGGUUCAAGGACCCCUUUCUCAUAAUCCAAUGCAUUUUUGAAUUGGAUUAUUAAAAGUAACAUAGGGUUGUUUGGAAUAGUUCAAAUAUUUCGCUAGCAAACACGGAAUUUGAGCCUUUUUUGGCUAUAAAGCGCCAACUAUUACAGCGGUUUAGCGCAUCUUCCGCAUAUUGAACCUGAGCUUAAUAGCUUUUAUUACUUGUCGUUAUAUACUUUUGACAAGAUUAUAGCUGUAUCUGACGAUCAUAGUUUUGAUUCAAAAACCUGGUCUAGGAGAUAUAUUUCUGUGCUAAAUUCUAGUUUUNAAUUUUCAAUUUUGAAUGUCCGAAUCAUGUAAUCUUCUUUGUUUUUUUACGUGGUUUUUUGCAUCGCAUUUGUGAAAUUGCAAUAAGAAAAACAACAACUAUUGUUAUACCAGCAAGAACGAACGAAUGUUAUUUAUUUUCUACAUAAUCUCACAACAAAAUCGAAAGAUAAUGAGCAAGUUCAGAUAGACAAAAUUUUGAAGCAAUCGCCAAGUAUUUUACCUUAGAUAUUCGAAGCCAUUUGGAAAGCAACCACGGUGAAUCACAAACUUCGAUCAGUAGCUGUCGGUGAUCGACAACGGACGACGCAGAUGGCAGAGACGUUUCUCUUUCAAAGUCGCCAAAUGUUUCCAGUUUUUAGUGGGAAAAAAUGGCUCCCAAAGAUGGUGGUUUUUCAAAAUCUAAUUUCGUGGACUUCAAGCAGGGUUUAUUAGAAGGGUAGGGAGUGGGUUUUCUAAAUUUAAUAGAGGGUAUGAAAGUAAUUCUGUGUUUUAUUAAUCAUCCUAAUCAACUAGCUAGCAAACACAUUUUCAGAUUAAUAAUCAAGCAUUAAUAAUAACGGGCCUUCCAGAAAAAAAAAAAAAAACCUAGUGUAAUCUUGCAAACUCAGUAAACAGGCUAUAAAAUUAUAAGGAGGGAUUAUAGCAAAAAAAUACACGAACUUUUGAUAAAAGUUGCAAUUUUUCACCUGAACUUUCAAAUUGUCCAAAAUAUACCUGAACUUAUAUUUUUUGUUGUAAAUUUCACCUCGACGGAGUUCAAUCAUUGCAAGUUCAGGUGAAAUUUACAACAAAAAAUAUAAGUUCAGGUAUAUUUUGGCUAAUUUGAAAGUUCAGGUGAAAAUUGCAACUUUUAUCAAAGUUCGUGUAUUUUUUGACUAUAAUUCCUUAUAAGGAAUAGUCAAGCGACUCCGAUAUUUUUCGAAAUUUGCAUAACCCUCAUUUCCUCAUUCCCGCCCCCCUCCCUCCAAUAAAAGGGGGCCAAAUUGAAAUUUUGGCCAAUGAUUUCAUUUCAUUUCACGAUAUUCAGAAUAUUUUUAAAGGAAAUUAGGGUUUUGUUUUGUUUUGUUUUGUUUUCUGGAGCAUAAUUCUCCAAUGGCGGUAAAUCGAAUAACCGUCUCCAGCUGUGAACUCAUUUGUGUGGGCGAAGUAUUUGUAGUUUUGUGUCAAUAUUUUCGAACAGAGAUGUAUAGAUUGAAUUUGAUUAAGCAUCUUAUUUUGUGCAUACAUCUUUCUGUAUUUAUGGGCUCAUUACCUUACGGUUUUCUGUUUGUAAUGUGAUUUUUUUUCUUGGGAAAUUGGAUUAUAUCUUUGUGUAUUUUGUGUGUGCAAAUUCAGAAACCAUUGAUGCAUUAAGUGUAUUAUUGCAAAUAUGUUGCCCUUGUAUUUUUAUUUGAUUGAAGAAACUGAAUUUAUGUGGAGAUACUGUUUGUAGUCUAUUAAUUUCUUUCUUGUGAUUGUUAAUUAUAGUUGCUCUUACACGAUCACCCUCCAUUAUGUAGGUGUUGGAUGUACGUGUUGGAAAUGUGCAAAAAUCAUGCCUGUAUAAUUAUUGCUUAUAGAUAAGGAUAUUCUAUGUGUUUAUUUGUCUUCCUAAUUUGGAUUUUGGUUAGAAAAGAUUCUAUAUUUGUAUCUUAUAAUUGCAAAUUCGCACUAAUUAUGCUUAUGUACACACUUAUUACGUAUGACUGCUUGUGCAUAGUAAACAACCUUCUUGUUAUAAUAAUUAGUUUGAGGGGGCAAGCUCUGUUUUGGUGGCUUCGGUGUGGAAUGGUUCCUGUGAUGAUUGGCAAUGAAGAAUUAAGUACACUAAAACACAUAUAAUGUGAAUGAGAAUGGUG